RNAcentral lists this ribosomal RNA (301 nucleotides) under uncultured bacterium. RNAcentral's name for it is "partial 16S ribosomal RNA". It matches the Rfam family "Bacterial small subunit ribosomal RNA", at positions 509 to 807 of the family's 1533-position model. The record is from RNAcentral.
CAGCAGCCACGGUAAUACGUAGGUGGCAAGCGUUGUCCGGAAUUAUUGGGCGUAAAGGGUGCGUAGGCGGUUUGAUAAGUCAUCUGUGAAAUCUCUGGGCUCAACCCAGAGUCUGCAGGCGAAACUGUCGGGCUUGAGUAUGGGAGAGGUGAGUGGAAUUUCCGGUGUAGCGGUGAAAUGCGUAGAUAUCGGAAGGAACACCUGUGGCGAAAGCGGCUCACUGGACCAUAACUGACGCUGAUGCACGAAAGCUAGGGGAGCAAAUGGGAUUAGAUACCCCUGUAGUCCCUGUCUCUUAUAC